AGGACGAACGCUGGCGGCGUGCUUAACACAUGCAAGUCACGGGGGCUCGCAAGAGCAACCGGCGAACGGGUGCGUAACACGUGAGCAACCUACCGAUUUGUGGGGGAUAGCCGGCCUAACGGCCGGGUAAUACCGCAUACGCUCUCCGGGUCUCCUGACCUGGUGAGGAAACCUCCGGGGCAAAUCGAGGGGCUCGCGGCCUAUCAGCUAGUUGGCGAGGUCACGGCUCACCAAGGCGACGACGGGUAGCUGGUCUGGGAGAUGGCCAGCCACAUUGGACUGAGAAACGGCCAGACUCUACGGGAGCAGCAGUGGGAAUCUUGCGCGAAUGGGACGAAAGCCUAGACGCAGCGACG
This 356-nucleotide ribosomal RNA is filed under the name uncultured soil bacterium. RNAcentral's name for it is "bacterial SSU rRNA". It matches the Rfam family "Bacterial small subunit ribosomal RNA", at positions 26 to 396 of the family's 1533-position model. The record is from RNAcentral.